This 23-nucleotide ribosomal RNA is filed under the name Coprinopsis bellula. Its description in RNAcentral is "Coprinus bellulus partial 28S ribosomal RNA". RNAcentral also lists the same sequence under 1 other name. The record is from RNAcentral. Lineage: Eukaryota; Fungi; Basidiomycota; Agaricomycetes; Agaricales; Psathyrellaceae.
AAUGAUCAGCUUCCAAUCGUCCA